Molecule: long non-coding RNA, 750 nt
Organism: Octopus bimaculoides (California two-spot octopus)
Lineage: Eukaryota; Metazoa; Mollusca; Cephalopoda; Octopoda; Octopodidae
Source: RefSeq, a predicted model, not a curated record
AGAGUUCUGAUUAUGUUGCAGCCUGGGGUUGGUCUCUUGGCUACAGUGUCCUGUUUGUUCUGGUCAGUUCCAGCACCGUUGUGUUCCUUUGUCCAAGUGCUGGAGGCUCAGGAAUUCCAGAAGUAACAGGCUUUCUUAAUGGAACCCAUAUUCCGAAGAUGUUCAGCUUGAAAACAAUGAUUGUCAAGUUCAUCUCCUGUGUUUGUGCUGUUGGCUGUAACAUGCCAGUUGGUCCCGAGGGACCCAUGAUUCAUUUAGGGGCUCUGGUAGGGGCCACUCUCAGCCAAUACAACAUCAGGAUUUGUAGCCAGUUUCACAACCCUGAAGAUAAGUAUGGGUCUCUUUGUAGUUCUUUAUCAUGAACACACACACACACAUUCCUUACUCACACACACUCUCCUUAUUCUGACACAUACAUACACAUGCACACACACACGCACACUCCUUAUUCACACACACACUCCUUAUUCAUACACAUGCACACAUGCGCAUACAUUCCUUAUUUAUACGCAUACUCACACACACACACACUCACACAUACCACUCCUUAUUCACACACGCCCACCCACACCCCUUAUUCAUGCACACACACACAUGCACACUCCUUAUUCACACACAUGUGCACACACACCCACAGACACACACACACACAUUCUGUAAAUAAUUCUGUAAAUAAUAAUAAUAUUAUUAUAUUAAAUAAUAAUAAUAAUAAUGACAGCAAGAGCACAAACCUUCGCCAAGGCAACACCA